Dioscorea cayenensis subsp. rotundata (Guinea yam) is the source of this 454-nucleotide long non-coding RNA. RefSeq lists it as uncharacterized. Lineage: Eukaryota; Viridiplantae; Streptophyta; Magnoliopsida; Dioscoreales; Dioscoreaceae. The record is from RefSeq and is a predicted model, not a curated record. The transcript is spliced from 2 exons.
UUGACUGGAGAACUUUGAUGUCUUUGACCGAGUUUGACUGAAGAAUCCCAAGCUGUCCUCACUUGUCAGCUUUCUUCCUAAAUUUGUGGAUCUAGUCGGCUGUUUUUUGAGUUGGAGCUGCUUUUAGAGAGCUAGGUCUGAAGGCAUGCUCUUCUUCAAUCUUGAAAGCUCUCUCUUUCUCCUUGGAAGAAGUCUAAAGCUUGGAUUUUGGAGGAAGGAUCUCUUCACCGGCAAGCUUAGAGGAGAAGAUUAAGCCUAGGAUCGGGGUUUAUCUUGGAGUCGUCUUCCUAUCUUUGGUUGUAGACCUUAUAGUGAACUUUUCUGUGUGAGUAAGACUUGUAUCUUGUCUGUAUCUUUGGUUUGUAAACUGUAUGUGUGGCACUGUUUUCUGUAGGGAUGCUAAAACCCAUAUUUGUAUUAACUCUAUUACUGUUGUUCUAUUUGUAGUUCUGUA